RNAcentral lists this long non-coding RNA (650 nucleotides) under Phoenix dactylifera (date palm). RNAcentral describes it as "long non-coding RNA (PDAC_LNC018524)". Lineage: Eukaryota; Viridiplantae; Streptophyta; Magnoliopsida; Arecales; Arecaceae. The record is from RNAcentral.
CGCUGCUUGCUCGGGGUGAUGCAGUGUACAGUACCUUACAAUUUAAGCUAAAAUGUGUAGAGAGAAAGAGGGAUGCAGUUUUGUAAUGGAGUAAUCUACCAUUUAACACUGCUAAUAACUAAGAAGCAAUUGUUAGAAAAUAAAGUUUAGAAGGAAAAUACAUAAUAGGUUAAUAGAACAUAAUUGCAAAUAUCGUAUUGACGAUGGUGAGUAUACAACUAACCACCUAAUAAUUCCUUGAUGAUGAUUUAUACUUUUCUUAACCAAAUUUUGCAGUGUUUAUUUGAUGCAGCUCUCAAGGAACUAGUUCAACUCAAUGUCCAUUAUUUUCAACGGUCUUAUCCUAGAUCGUUCUUUUAGCGCACACAAAGCAGUGACACCUGCCCUGCUUCACCACGCUGCCUGCUAUUACAUAUAAAACUUGUGAAUCAUCACAGUCCUCAUAGAAAUUAGUCGGUGCUUUUAACAUUUCAAUUACCAUUAUGAACAGACUGCUAGUGCAAUAAAAUCUUAAUAGAACAGAAGGUGUCCCAACAAAUGUUAAUAAGGUGAAUUGUACAGCAAAUGAGUCUGUUCUCUCCCAUAACAGGGAAGCAUUUCCCGAUUUCGGCAGCAAAUAGAUCUAGAACUGAAGCCUGUGGAAACAGGAC